Molecule: ribosomal RNA, 453 nt
Filed under: uncultured bacterium
Lineage: Bacteria
Description: bacterial SSU rRNA
Rfam family: Bacterial small subunit ribosomal RNA
Source: RNAcentral
UACGGAAGCAGCAGUGGGGAAUAUUGCACAAUGGGCGAAAGCCUGAUGCAGCUAUGCCGCGUGUAUGAAGAAGGCCUUAGGGUUGUAAAGUACUUUCAUCGGGGAGGAAAAACAAAACUAAUAAUUUUAUUUCUUGACGUUACCCGAAAAAGAAGCACCGGCUAACUCCGUGCCAGCAGCCGCGGUAAUACGGAGGGUGCUAGCGUUAAUCAGAAUUACUGGGCGUAAAGAGCACGUAGGUGGUUUUUUAAGUCAGAUGUGAAAUCCCUGGGCUUAACCUAGGAACUGCAUUUUGAAACUGAAAUACUAGAGUAUCGUAGAGGGAGGUAGAAUUCUAGGUGUAGCGGUGAAAUGCGUAGAUAUCUGGAGGAAUACCUGUGGCGAAAGCGGCCUCCUAAACGAAUACUGACACUGAGGUGCGAAAGCGUGGGGAGCAAACAGGGAUUAGAUACC